UACUUCGCUGCCUUUGCAGAAGUUCUACCUAGUGUUCAACCAGGGAGCCGCCUCUGGACAUGGGUGCGCAGGCCCGUUCGGCGGGAAGCCCGAAGUGUCUACCGUAGCGCCCACCUAUUAACAUAGAGGUUGAACUUUCUCGAGUGGGUAUGCGAAGUGGCGGGAAGUCC
Molecule: non-coding RNA, 170 nt
Filed under: Nannocystaceae bacterium
Lineage: Bacteria; Pseudomonadati; Myxococcota; Nannocystales; Nannocystaceae
Description: 6S RNA
Rfam family: 6S / SsrS RNA
About the family: E. coli 6S RNA was the first non coding RNA to be sequenced, but its function was unknown until recently.
Source: RNAcentral